ACAGUAAAUCAGGCGGAGAUGCUGGAAAUUCCUUGGCAGAUGAACAGGUCAAAGGCUCAGAAAGAUCGUGGAGGAUGACAAUGAACCUUGAUUACCUGGACAUUUUGGACACUGGUCCACUAUACUGAUGACACCAUGCCAGUUGGACCCUGUAGCAGAAAGUGACUAGAGCUGUGAAUGCUUAGUGCAUAUCUUUUAUGUCGAAACAAGAAAAGUGGACUUCAAAUUUUGCUACAACUGUGCUAAGCGCAAUAUGUGUCAACAUUACCAGAUUAAGCACUAAUCACAAUAUUCCAAACUCAUAGGAAAGUGACAGUUAAAAAAAUUAGGACAGCUAGAAUUUCUUCACAAGAAUUAAAAACGUAAAUGAAGCUGCAACCAAAGCAAGUCUCCAAGUGGCUUAUUA
This is a long non-coding RNA of Myotis brandtii (Brandt's bat), 406 nucleotides long. RefSeq lists it as uncharacterized. NCBI's taxonomy places the organism in Eukaryota, Metazoa, Chordata, Mammalia, Chiroptera, Vespertilionidae. The record is from RefSeq and is a predicted model, not a curated record. The transcript is spliced from 3 exons.